Molecule: long non-coding RNA, 236 nt
Filed under: Gouania willdenowi (blunt-snouted clingfish)
Lineage: Eukaryota; Metazoa; Chordata; Actinopteri; Blenniiformes; Gobiesocidae
Description: lncRNA (ENSGWIG00000019598.1)
Source: RNAcentral
AUGAGAUUUGUGUUGCCAGUCUUGGUUUUUCUCGCAGUGUCAGCAUUUCACACAGCGCUUUCAGCUUGUCUGGAAUCUGCAGAGAAAAAGGAUAAUGUCGCACAACAUGAUGGACUGGCUGAACUAAAGAAGAUAGAUCAGGAGGAGUUUGAAGCUGCUCAGAGAGAAAAAGCGGCUCAGAUGAACAUUACAGUAGAAGAGGAUGAAUCACCUCGCAACCUUGUAGCAGAGGCCUA